This 310-nucleotide unclassified non-coding RNA is filed under the name plant metagenome. RNAcentral's name for it is "partial contains 5.8S ribosomal RNA, internal transcribed spacer 2, and large subunit ribosomal RNA". The stretch from base 1 to 105 matches the Rfam family "5.8S ribosomal RNA", at positions 50 to 154 of the family's 154-position model. The record is from RNAcentral.
GAAAUGCGAUAAGUAGUGUGAAUUGCAGAAUUCAGUGAAUCAUCGAAUCUUUGAACGCACAUUGCGCCCCUUGGUAUUCCAUGGGGCAUGCCUGUUCGAGCGUCAUUUGUACCCUCAAGCUCUGCUUGGUGUUGGGUGUUUGUCCCCGUCUCCGCGCGCGGACUCGCCCCAAAGUGAUUGGCAGCCGGCGUACUGGUCCCGGAGCGCAGCACAUGUCGCGCAAACGAGUGCCUUGGUACGGCGGCGUCCAUAAGCCCCUCUCUCACGCUCUUGACCUCGGAUCAGGUAGGGAUACCCGCUGAACUUAAGC